GUAAAUUUUUUUUUCUAUGUGAAAUGUAACAAGACGAUGGGAGAUAAGUCCUGUAACAACUUGAGAUAAGGCAGCUAUUGAACGCCAAUCAUGUCCCCCUUCCCUCCACAAAGCGCCAAUCAGUCUCUUUUUCACAUGGCAGACUCGUAAAAGUAACAAGACUAUGAUAGUAGAUGUACGCAAAUGUGUAGAAUUAUGACUGAUUCAAAUAAUUGAUGCAAUUUCUCUCACUAUAUGCAAGGUUAUUUCAUAACAUGUUCAUUUCCAUAUUAAAGAAAAAAACUACACAUCUAACAGUCUUUUACCUGUGUUAAUAC
Non-coding RNA from Biomphalaria pfeifferi, 317 nucleotides. NCBI's taxonomy places the organism in Eukaryota, Metazoa, Mollusca, Gastropoda, Planorbidae. The record is from the annotation of a GenBank genome assembly.